GCCAGCGCAGGAUGCACCCUGGCUCUGCGCUCCUGCGGGCGGGCUCGGGCUGCGGCUCUCUGGUUUCGUCACUUGGAAGCCAGGGAACAAGUUUGGAAAGAAACCUCUCACCAGGUCUCUGUUGUUAAAGAAAACGGCGGCCUUCUCCCAUCGAGAGACUUCACUGCUGGACUGAAGAACCUUAUUGCUUCAUUCCUUUUUCCUGGGACAUUCACAAAUGACAACAGAUGGAUCCAAAUUGGCUGCUUGGCCAAAGAAGAGAAGAGGAAUUUACUCUGAUUCACUAUGCUUCUUGCACAAUCCCUCUCUGACUUACUAACCAAUUCAAUUAAGCCUAAAUUAAGCACUUACUACUGCCGUCACUCCCUGCAUAAGAACAUUUCGGUCAACAAUAAAUUGCCUAAGAUUAGUACCAUGUAGCCUCGGUGUGUAGGAGGCUAUACCAUCUAGGUUUGUGUAAGUACUACAGGGGAGGAAGAAAUUUUCCUCUACCCUCUAGGUUCUUCUGGCUGGUCUAAGAAUUAAAUGGACGUCAGACAGAUUAACAGGAGAAAAUCAAAAGUUUAAUUAAAUGUAUACAUGGGAGAAACCUGGGAAAACUAAGUAACUCGCCAAAAUGGCCAGAGCCCUCCCCUUAAAUACCGUCCUCAGCUAAAGACAAAAGGGCAUGUUGGGAGUGGGAGAGUCAGAGACUUCAAGGGAAGGAAGACAACUCACAGGUAGGUGAAAAGGAGCAAACAUUUGAAAAACAAGUGUUUGGCCACACAGAAACAGAAGAACACAGAGGGGGCCCCUACAAACAGGUUCCUCCCUGUCUACCCCCUAGUUCAUGUGAUGCCAAGGUGAUAGCUUGCUUCCUGAAACCGGUUUUUUAAUCUGGAUUCUUUUAGGCUGUUCGGAGGGGGUGGGGCAGUAACAAGAAAAACCUUCUGAGUCUUUUGUUUUUUAGAAAUAAUCAGCCUAAAAUAAUCCUCACGUUAAAGAGACACACUUUGGGGUGGCAAAUUUUGUUCCCCUUCAGUACACUCUAUGAUGGUUGCACAACCACCAAAUUGCCUAAAGACGCAUCUUUCAGAACAUCUCCCCAUCCUGAAGCGACAGGUGACUGUGCGUGCCCCCUACUGUGUGCAGGGCACAGUGUUAAGUUCUCUGCAGAGACAAAGAUGCGCAAUAAAAAGCUUCAGCUUACAAAGCAUUUUCUGUCUGGUUGGAAAGUCAGGUAAAUAUUCAUACACAGCCUAAUUAGAAUGAUCAAGAGUGUGUGCUUUUUCCUGCAAUUACCUCAUCUAAAGGUAUGAACUCCAUGUCAUGUAUCAGGAAGAAAUCCUUUUGGUGCAAGUAACUAAGAGUCUAACUCAAUCACGUGAAUUUUCAGUCUGUGCCUGGUCCAGAAUCUCAUUUUUCUCUCACUGUUUUUUGGUUCUACUUCCUCAACUUAUAUGCGUUCCUGGGCAGGCUCUUUCAUUUGUGGGUCCAAGAUGGCUACCAGUGUCUUCCAGAGCUGCAAGCUUCCCUGUGUAUGUCUACCAGGAACGACAGCUUAGAUCUCCAGGUCGCUAAAAUGCAGGUCCUUCAAAUUAGCCCCAGGGGCCACAGUUGGUCUGAUCUGGAUCACUAAUCCAUCCUUGAACCAGGGUGACUGUAGUGAGAGGUUUGGGAUAAGCCAAUGGGCUCAUGACAGUAAGUUCUGCAGCUGGAGGCAAGGCCCCAUGCAGACAAUGUGGCUGGGAAAUUUAAGGUCCUAUUUGAGAAGGGGACAGUAUGAGACUAGAUUCUGGGGAAGUAACUACAAAUAUCCCCCUUACCCCAUGCUUUGUCUUCAUUAACUGCUUCUGCAAAACACUGGCACUCUUUUGUAGUUGUGUGCUGCUAAGUAUUUAACAGCUGGUUCUAUAGGAGAAAAAAGCUCCCUUUGUAGCAUUUUCUCAGUUGCAUGGUGUAAAUGCUCUCACCACGGCUGACUGAAUGCAGAAUCAGGAAGAAGUGUAAUGGCACACCAGUCUAUGGCAUGCCCAUCAUCCAGGUACGCUAGAUGCAGAUAACCCCAAGAGGAGAGAAAAUCGUAACAUAUAGUAAUGUGAUUAAGAAGUGAUGAGUUUUACAUAUGCAUUCCCUUUAUUUCAAUAUCAUUUAUUUAGUUAUAAGUUUAAAUAAUUUAAUAAUGGCUAUGUUUAACAACUGACUUGCAAAAUUCCUGGAAACCUCACAGUUGGCUCUCAUGGGCCAGCCCCAGCCAGCCCCAGCAUGCCCAGGCUUUUUGCACUGAACACUUCAUCAUGUUCACUUUUAAAAGGUAUUUAUUUGUAGGUUCUUCGCAUGUGCCUGAUUCCAUCUUCGGCUGUCUACGAGAGUCAGAGUUAAGGUGGGCUUCUGAGGAAUGGCCUAAAAGAAAUGGAGCCAGAGGAAAUGUCCAAACAAAGACUCACCAGACAGAGGACUUUGAAGAGUGAAAUCAAGAGGCACCGUCUGCGCAUAGGGACAACAGUCAAGUCCAGGGCUGAAGACUAGAGACAAAGUGGAGGGACAGAAGCUGGAGAAAUAUGAGGAAAUUGAGUCUUACAGAGAUAAAUAACUUGCCCAAGGUCAGAUAACUAGUGAAUCGUGGAACUGGGAUUUUAGCUCAAAUCUGCCUGAGGCAAUGAGUACAGAAUCCCAUGCUCCAAACAGAGUGAGCUAGGCAAAGGAGAAGGGCUGUGUGAAAGGGAAGCCAGAGUCACCUCCGUCCAACCUCCUGUUUCUGGGAGGCCAGGUCCAGACGUGGUGCAAGAAACAGCCAAAUCAUUAACCAUCGAUAGAACCCGGGAAUGCAACUGCAAACGAAUAAACAUCUUAUAGUGAUACCAAGGCCCCUUCCAUCAUUUCUCAGCUUUUUCUGAGGGCUCAAGUAGACAGGGGUAUGCACAGCACAGAUUGGGUUGGGGAUACACUGUGAAGCUUGGAGUGACUUGCUUCACAGUGAAAGACAUAGUAAAUUACUUGUGUCCUACGUGUUGUAUAAUACUAAUCAACUUGAUUUUUCUUAUGUUCUUCUUUGAAGUCACAUAACAUAGAAUCUUAUGCCUAGGAGAUUUCUUAGACAGCUUUUAAUCUAACUCCCAGUGCAGGAGAGGAAUAUUCUCAAUCAUAUUACUGGCAAGUAGCCACUGAUGUCUGUCAGAACUUCUCCAGGGAUGGAGAAAAAGAGCAGUUUAUUCCGUUAUUGGAAACUGUUUAUUGCUGAGCUGAGCUUUACAUCCUGGUACUGUCUACCUGCUGCGACCCUCUAUUAUAUCAUGUCUGCUGGCUAUGACAUACUCAUACUGGGCAGGUCGCUUGACUUUUCCUUUUAGUUUAAACUGCCCGGCCCGUUGACCCUCUGGCAACACGUGAAUGAGUCAGGAGCAAACAGCUGACUCAAGAAUUAUUCCCCCUUGAGAAUUUGAACCAAGGAACACUGAGACUCAGUGAUCAUAAAACAUUUCACUGUGGCUCCCCCAGAAUUUAGAUUCUGAAUGCCAGUGGGACCUACUAUAGAGAAAACAAAGCCCAAAUGGAAAGACUGACUGUAUCUUGAAUCAUUGUG
Equus quagga is the source of this 3562-nucleotide long non-coding RNA. RefSeq lists it as uncharacterized. Lineage: Eukaryota; Metazoa; Chordata; Mammalia; Perissodactyla; Equidae. The transcript has 6 exons. The record is from RefSeq and is a predicted model, not a curated record.